This 63-nucleotide transfer RNA is filed under the name Entylia carinata. RNAcentral's name for it is "tRNA-Tyr". Lineage: Eukaryota; Metazoa; Arthropoda; Insecta; Hemiptera; Membracidae. The record is from RNAcentral.
AUUAAGGUGUCCGAUUUAGGUUAUAAAUUGUAAGUUUAUUUAAGAAUUAUUUUUCUCUUAAUA